This 871-nucleotide unclassified non-coding RNA is filed under the name uncultured Bordetella sp. RNAcentral describes it as "partial 16S-23S ribosomal RNA intergenic spacer". It matches the Rfam family "Bacterial small subunit ribosomal RNA", at positions 618 to 1499 of the family's 1533-position model. The record is from RNAcentral. Lineage: Bacteria; Pseudomonadati; Pseudomonadota; Betaproteobacteria; Burkholderiales; Alcaligenaceae.
AACUGCAUUUUUUAACUACCGAGCUAGAGUGUGUCAGAGGAGAGUGGAAUUCCGCGUGUAGCAGUGAAAUGCGUAGAUAUGCGGAGGAACACCGAUAGCGAAGGCAGCCUCCUGGGAUAACACUGACGCUCAUGCACGAAAGCGUGGGAGCAAGCAGGAUUAGAUACCCUGGUAGUCCGCCUAAACGAUAUCAACUAGCUGUUGGGGCCUUCGGGCCUUGGUAGCGCAGCUAACGCGUGAAGUUGACCGCCUGGGGAUACGGUCGCAAGAUUAAAACUCAAAGAAAUUGACGGGGACCGCACAAGCGGUGGAUGAUGUGGAUUUAAUUCAGUGCAACGCGAAAAGCCUUACCUACCCUUGACAUGUCUGGAAUCCCGAAGAGAUUUGGGAGUGCUCGCAAGAGAACCGGAACACAGGUGCUGCAUGGCUGUCGUCAGCUCGUGUCGUGAGAUGUUGGGUUAAGUCCCCACCGGCGAGCGCAACCUUGUCAUUAGUUGCUACGGAAGGGCACUCUAAUGAGACUGCCGGUGACAAACCGGAGGAGGUGGGGAUGACGUCAAGUCCUCAUGGCCCUUAUGGGUAGGGCUUCACACGUCAUACAAUGGUCGGGACAGAGGGUCGCCAACCCGCGAGGGGAGCCAAUCCCAGGAAACCCGAUCGUAGUCCGGAUCACAGUCUGCAACUCGACUGCGUGAAGUCAAAUCGCUGGUAAUCGCGGAUCAGCAUGUCGCGGUGAAUACGUUCCCGGGUCUUGGCACACACCGCCCGUCACACCAUUAAGAUGGGUUUACCAGAAGUAGUUAGCCUAACCGUAAGGAGGGCGAUUACCACGGUAGGAUUCAUGACUGGGGGUGAAGUCGUAACAAGGUAA